Molecule: microRNA precursor, 152 nt
Filed under: Amborella trichopoda
Lineage: Eukaryota; Viridiplantae; Streptophyta; Magnoliopsida; Amborellales; Amborellaceae
Description: MIR8565 microRNA precursor family
Rfam family: MIR8565 microRNA precursor family
Source: Rfam by way of RNAcentral
CCCACACCCAUGUAUAGGGCUUCAAAGGAUCACCAUUAAAUUUGGCAGAGAUCUCUAGAAAAGUUAUCACAUGGGUGUGAGACUUGACUUUUCGAGAGAUCUAUGCCAAAUUUAAUGGUGAUCCUUUGAGGUCCUACACACAUAAGUGUGGG